Molecule: non-coding RNA, 782 nt
Filed under: Rhabdoblatta similsinuata
Lineage: Eukaryota; Metazoa; Arthropoda; Insecta; Blattodea; Blaberidae
Source: RNAcentral
GACAAGUUUUAUUCUUGCUUAAAUAUUUAUUAUGAAAAAUUGUUAUAUGCAAGUUAUUCCAUAUUUAUUUAAUCUAAAUGAUAAAUAUAUAAUGAUAGCAGUAAUUAAUAUUAGUAAUUUAAGUAAUUUUGAAUUAGUUAUUUUCAUUAAAUAUUGAUUAAAUAUGUGCCAGCAGUCGCGGUUAUACAUAAAAUAUUAGUAAAUAAUUUUUAGUUAUUAGUUAUUAUGAUUUAUUUAAUUUAUUGUGAAAAUUUUUAGGUGAAAUUUAAUUUUUCUUUUUUGAUUAAUUUGUUUAUAAUAAAAGGCUACGAAAUCUAAAUAUUUAAACUAGGAUUAGAUACCCUAUUAUUUUGGAUUUAAAUUUAAAAAAACUUGAGUAGUAUUAGUUAUGAUCUUGAAACUUAAAGAAUUUGGCGGUAUUUUAGUCUAUUUAGAGGAAUCUGUCCCAUUAUCGAUAAUCCACGUUGGACCUUACUUAAUUUUAUUAUUUGUAUACCGCCGUUUAUUUGAAAAUCUUAUUAGAGUAAUUUUCUUAAUAUUUAAUUUUAUAAUAUUUCAGGUCAAGGUGCAGUUUAUAAUUAAGUGGAGAUGGAUUACAAUAUAAUUUAUAUAUGAAUUAUAAAUUGUAAUAUUUAUAUGAAGGUGGAUUUAAUAGUAAUAUUAAGAAUAAUAAUUAAUAUGAUUUUGGCUCUAAAAUGUGCACACAUCGCCCGUCACUCUCGCUCUUAAGGUGAGAUAAGUCGUAACAAAGUAGGUGUACCGGAAGGUGUAGCUAGAUUGAU